CUUCUUCAAAACUUUAUCAAGGUAUGUGCUUUGUGAAAGUCCAAUUAAGCGUCUUUAUCUAUCUCUAUAGAUCUUGAUGCCCAAUAUAUAUAUAUAAGCAGCUUCACCGAGGUCUUUCAUUGAAAAACUCUUAUUCAAGUAUUCUUUUAUGCUAUCCAGAAAUUCUAUAUCAUUUCCAAUCAACAGUAUGUCAUCCACAUAUAAUCUACUACCACUAUAAAAGGAAGAGAGGUGCAGAUCCAAACAAUCACAUCCAUCCAUCAUCAAAAUCUAAUGGCUCCUAAUCGUUUCGUGUUUAACGCUGCAAGCCACGGAAUUAAGCCACGCCCACACUAUCGAUCGCUAAUCCUACCCGCUGCUUCGAAAAACAAAAACCGCUCCGCACGCCACGCCCGCACCACACCUGCACCACGACCUCGCCCGCUCCACCUCCCAGCGGACGCCGAUCCUCCCCCGUCGUCCGCCCCGUCCGCCGCCCGCCUAUCCACUCGGCCUCCGCCGCCACCCGCCGCCCUAAAUCCUCGCCCUCCUCCGCCACCGCCGCUCAGCUUGGCCUCCUCCUCCGCGCACGAGGAGGUGGAGGGUGAGCGCGGUGUCCCGGAAGGCGGCGAGGCGGAGGCGGGGGAGUAACGAGAUGGCCGCCGGGUCCUGCUUCCUUGCGGUGCGGAGGGUUGAGGUGGAGGCCAGGUUCUGCUUCAUUACGGUGCGCGCGGUCGAGGUGGAGGCGGAGACGGAAGGCGGCGAGGAGGGUCGAGGUGGCCGCCGGGUUCUGCUUCCUUGCGGCGCGCACGGUGACGCCGGCUGCUGCCCACCCCCACUCGCACUCCACAAACGCACGCCUCUCCCAAUUCAGGCCAUCCCCGAACAGCGACCACGACACCCCACCGCUGGCCCCUUCGCGACCACACUCCCCACGAUGCCUGCCGGUUCUCCGCCGCCUCGCCUAGGCCAUCUUGAAACCGCCGCAGUCGCAGCUACAGUCAGGUUACCACCACUUCCUAUUCUUGGUUCUGAUCUCUGUAUGUCCUUAGCAGUAUAUAUACAGUUGUGGUAUACUUCAAUGAACUGGGAGUUGCCCGUCUGUAGCUUCAUAGGUGUUGACAUCUGUUGCAAUUCGUAUCACAUUGAACCAGUUUUAUAUUAGUGAUCUAAAUGCUCUUAUAUUACUCCCUCCGUCCCAAAAUUCUUGUCUUACAUUUGUCUAGAUACAGAUGUAUCUAACACUAAAAUGUAACUAGAUACAUCCGUAUUUAGACAAAUCUAAGACAAGAAUUUUGGGACGGAGGGAGUAGUUUACAGAGGGAGUACCAGCUACCGAUCCAUCGCAUUUUAUCCACCAUGUCAUGCUUGCUCUCUAUGUUAUCUUCUGUUUUUGAAUGAAUUUCAUUUUGCUUGCUGCAAUAGCAGUAGACUGAUCUGUCCUCAGUUUUGAGGUUAGGCUAAUUUGAGUGAAAUGCAGUUAAAAGCAAGAAGCAGUUUUAACCAGCGAAACUGAAUAUUAUUCUCUGAAGAGACAUGCCUUCUUGAUUGACGAACAGGUUAUCCAUGUUCAGGUAAAUGUCAUGCGUCUUUUCUGAACAUUGUGGUCGUGCUCCACAAUUCAGAUACUAUUGUCAGUUAUUGUAGUGGUAUAGUGUUCAUCUACUACUACCCUUGUAAAAGCAUGAAGUUUAGAUCUUUGUGUUGUGCUGAAAUUCAUGCAUAUCUCUUUAUACUGGGUUAUUUGAUAAGUUGUGCUAUUUAUGUUGAAAUAAUAUGAAAUUAUAUGCAAAGCUCUAGAACUGCCUUGAGUAGGUGAUAGUUAAGAAGAACAUAGUAUGUGAUGGUCCAAUGAGGAAGAAAUAUAAGUCGACAAUGCUGCUGAUGGGUGGCACUGAUAGUCCCAACGCCUUUGCUCUUGGAUCAUUAUUCAAGCUUAUUUUUUCCUACAACAAGAAAGAGGAUGCUGAAGGAGGUAUUGCAACUAGAAAGGAUAGAAAGGCAGCUUUGGAGAGGGGUCGCAAAGAUCAAGGCUAUUGUGUCAAGUACUGUGCUCAAAACGUCCAUCGGGUGCAUCCAUCUCGCCCCAUUUCAUCAUCGAUCACCAAGCGAUUUACAUCCACUGCGAUCAUGGAUGACCCUGUGAGACAUGCCGCCCUAUUCUUCCAGAUACAAUGGGUCGAUUAAUACGGUAUUUUGAUAUGCUAAUCACGCUUCCGUUUCACUAAAUUUCCAGAACAAUACUACUUACCUUCUACUAAUAUUGUUCUGUCAACUGCAAAAAUCAGAAUUAUCGCAACAUUUUCGUGAUCUGUAUUCCAGCUUUUAGUAUAUGGUUUGUUUUAGAAGCAGAUAAGUGCUGAAGGGUCGUAUAUAGGAAUACUUGUUAUGCACGUCUAUCUACACUCUUCUCAGCCUAGAAAUCAUUAUGUGCUUGCUGACUUGUUUUGCUCAUAUUGCCGCUGAAACUGUGAGCGGUCCUUGCAUGUCUUGUGUAUUCAUUGAAAGCGUCUAAAAUAUGGAGUUGCAACAUGGCUGCUAGCUGCUACUUUCAUGUUAACAGAAGAAGGCCAAAGCUCUCAUUUUCUAGAUAUGUCGAGUUUAAAUAUGAAGGAUAUUUUAAGAACGGAAUUUUCAGCAUCAUAUAUCUAUAGCAAUUGUGUUCUAAAACGGAAUUGUUGGCUCCUAAUAAUAGUGUACUGAAUUCUCUCAAGUCCUUCCAGCUUUAGGGACUGCUCAAUUGGAUCUGCACAAUCCAACAAAAUAAAUGUGCAUAGUGUCUGCGACACUUUCUUCGGAUCAUCACGAAGGUAGUUGUAGGAGUAAAAAAGUACGUCAUACUGUUUUUUCAGUACAAGCCAGAGACUGUUGAGAAAGAAAGGCUAGGACAUGUAAUACUUGUUUUUACAGUACUUGUGCAAAAAGUAUGUCAUACUGUUUUGUUCUAGAUGAUUUUGAUGAAUUUUACAACCUUCUUUUCAGUCGUAUACCCCAAGAAAAUUUGCUUUCAUGGGGCUUAUUUAAUCCAAGAACUGUGAGUAGUAGCGAACCAGACAUGAAAAGUUUCAGAGAACUACGAAAACUCCGGUCAGUUUUGUCAGGAUCUUGUGACCCAAUUCCAGGACUCUAUUGGCUAAGGUAAUUAAUGAUAUAUCUGUGUGAUUUAUCCUGUUAAAACUUUUAGUGUUCACUUAGGGGUGAGUGCAACUAGUAACUAAAUUUAGACUACGAACUAGAGUAGGACAGUAAAAUCAGGAGCAGGAUGGAGAACACAUGGGACAUUGAGGACUAAUGGUCAACACUUAAAUCUUGCUUUACAUUCAGUUCAGUUCCAAGUAGUCUGAUACAUAGAUGGAGACGCGAGUGCUGAUUUGGGGUUGAUUUGGUAAUUAUAUAUUUUCCUUGAUGACUGUCAUUUUGUUGUCCUACAUGUGCCAUAUGAUAUGCAUAACAACUUGAGAGCACCUUUGCUGCUCUUGAUGUGCUUCGUCAUGCAGUUUUUUAAAGUGCACAAGCAAGCUUGCGAGUGAUGACAACUACUAUGACCUACAAACCUUGAAUCAAGUUUUUUGGGGUUGAACAUAGGGCACAGCGCGCUCUCCCAUCUACCCAGUGAAGCGUAUGAAAGAAAAAGCUACAAUAUACAAAUCAUCACCGUCAUUCAGUUUGUCCAAAACUAAGAAAAGCUCUUUAAAAAAACUGGGAAAAGCUCACAUGAUGGAAUGAGAUGAGAUUUCAAUAUCAUGAUUGUGUUUUAUAAUUUGAAUGACCAAAGUAGAUGAUCCAGUCAGCCCGUGUUUGACAAUAUGAAGGGACAAGCUUGUUGAUCCAUUAUCUGGCCAGGAAAAUACAAUAAUUCGGAGGGCUUAGGUAUGGAUAAUAGAUCUGACCUACUCUAGCAAGGUGAGUGACUCAAUUGCACAUGUGCAAAAUGGAAGUUUAAACUUACUUGAAUCUCUUGUAGGGUUUGGGGGAGAUUGUCAGCGAGCCACUGAUGAAAGUCCUUUUGCAAUGACAAUGAUAGAGAAGAUUUGAAAGAUCUCGCUUGGCGUGGGGUAACUUGUGUACUCCUGGAUGGAGGCGCCGUCCGGUGGCAGUGGGGUGUGGCAGUUGCCACAGCUGGGCACAGCCGGGAGGCGUUGGUGUCACCAUUGUGCUACAUCACACAUUUUUCUCGCGGCGAUUGUGUUACUGUUGUUGUUAUCAACAACCUACCAUGACGGUCCGGGAGGUGAUGAAAGUUAGCUGCAGAGGCUACACUCAGAUAUAUGAUCUUUGCGGUGAAGAAAAACAUGAACAAUAAUGCAACUAUCCCCUUUAAUGGGAUUAUUCCAUCAUUGGUUAUCUGAUUUAAUCAGAACAGGAAUGCACCUGCUAUGUGACUGACACAAAAAUUAUUGGAGGAAGUUUGCUCUCA
Triticum aestivum (bread wheat) is the source of this 4396-nucleotide long non-coding RNA. RefSeq lists it as uncharacterized. Lineage: Eukaryota; Viridiplantae; Streptophyta; Magnoliopsida; Poales; Poaceae. The record is from RefSeq and is a predicted model, not a curated record. The transcript has 2 exons.